This 1209-nucleotide ribosomal RNA is filed under the name Triticum aestivum (bread wheat). RNAcentral describes it as "partial small subunit ribosomal RNA". Lineage: Eukaryota; Viridiplantae; Streptophyta; Magnoliopsida; Poales; Poaceae. The record is from RNAcentral.
AUGGAUGUUAAGACUGCUUUCCUAAAUGGAGAGCUGGACGAGGAAAUUUAUAUGGAACAACCAGAUGGGUUUGUACUAGAUGGUCAGGAAAGAAAAGUGUGCAAGUUGCUGAAGUCUUUGUAUGGACUCAAGCAAGCACCCAAACGGUGGCAUAAGAAGUUUGAAAGAACUUUAACAGCUGCAGGCUUUGUUGUAAACGAAGCUGACAAAUGUGUGUACUAUCACCAUGGUGGGGGCGAGGGAGUUGUCCUUUGCUUGUAUGUUGACGACAUACUGAUUUUCGGAACAAAUCUGAAUGUCAUUAAGGAGGUCAAGGACUUUCUAUCUCGCUGUUUUGAGAUGAAGGAUUUAGGAGUGGCUGAUGUCAUUCUGAACAUCAAGUUGUUGAGAGACGGUGAUGGUGGGAUUACAUUGCUUCAAUCUCACUAUGUGGAAAAGAUCUUGAGUCGCUUUGGCUAUAGUGACUGCAAGUCCUCUCCAACACCAUAUGAUGCGAGUGUGUUACUUCGAAAGAAUCAAAGAAUUUCUAGAGAUCAAUUGAAAUAUUCUCAGAUUAUUGGCUCGCUUAUGUACUUAGCCAGUGCUACAAGACCUGACAUCUCUUUUGCUGUUAGCAAACUGAGUCAGUUUGUCUCAAAACCAGGAGAUGUGCAUUGGAAAGCUCUAGAGAGAGUUUUGCGUUAUUUGAAAGGCACUGCAAAUUAUGGAAUUCACUACACCGGGCACCCAAAGGUGCUUGAAGGGUAUAGUGACUCAAACUGGAUCUCAGAUGCUGAUGAGAUAAAGGCCACGAGUGGUUAUGUAUUCACUCAUGGAGGUGGCACUGUUUCUUGGAAGUCUUGCAAGCAGACCAUCUUAACGAGGUCAACAAUGGAAGCAGAACUCACAACACUAGAUACAGCUACGGUCGAAGUAGAUUGGCUUCGCCGGCUCUUGAAUGACUUGCCGGUUGUUGAGAAACCUGUACCGGGUAUCCUUAUGGACUGCGACAAUCAAACUGUGAUCACAAAAGUGAGCAGCUCAAAGGAAAACAUGAAGUCAUCAAGACACGUUCAGAGAAGGUUGAAGUUUGUCAGGAAAAUGAGAAACUCUGGAGUUAUUGCAUUGGAUUAUAUCCAAACGUCUAAAAAUCUGGCAGAUCCUUUUACUAAGGGUCUAUCACGCAAUGUGAUAGAUAAUGCAUCGAGGGAGAUGGGUAUGAGACCCACA